AGGGAUAAAUGGAUCUUAGGAAAAUUGUAGUUCCCGUGGUCAGGAUGUUUUUCAUGAUGGUGGCAGUUGGCCUCUUGGGAAUCUGAGAGAUUGUCCAAAAGCUGACUAACAGGAAGACAGAAGUGUAACUGCAGCACAAACAGACAGGAAACAGCUAUGUUAAGAAAACAUUUGUGAAAAUUCACUCAGCAUUGCUUACAUGAAGCCUCUAACUUGAUGAGAGAGCAAGUUGGUUAAAAAAAUAGAAGCUUAUUUGAGAAAUGAGGAGUUAGCAUUGUGCCUGUCGAGGCCUUCCUCCUGUCUAGCACAUGGACCAU
RNAcentral lists this long non-coding RNA (317 nucleotides) under Homo sapiens (human). RNAcentral describes it as "HSALNT0111809". The record is from RNAcentral. Lineage: Eukaryota; Metazoa; Chordata; Mammalia; Primates; Hominidae.